CUUGACAAAUGGAGCUAUUGGCUUUGAAUUGUAUUGUGGAAAUGUAUUACCAACAGAGGUGCAGGUGCCAGCCUAUUGAAAUAAAGCGUCAAUGAGGGUGAGAAUCCUGUUUGUCAUGUGCAGCCCUUUGUGCACGGUGUAUAUUUGCUGAGUCACACUCCUUGGCAUUGGAAUGCAAAGUGGGUGGUAAGUUUCAUGUAAAGGUAAACAUGCAAUUGAGACUGAUAGCACACAAGUACCAUGAGGGAAAUAUGAAAAGGACUUUGAAAAGAGAAUUAAAUGAGUUUGUAUUUGCUGAACACAAAGUAAACAGACUUGAUUUGCUUGGUGGGAGUGUUGCACUUGCUUGACAAGAGCUUUGGGCUGUGGGUGUAAUGAUUCUUUCUUUGCAUGCCAGUUUCUAUUUGUACAUCUGAUUACCUUUGCACAUGAAUGAUAAGUCUCCUGUGGGGGGUGGAUUGCAUGUGCAUGUAAUGAUUUGUGUUUUGAUAAAUGUGUCUGGUGUAUGUGUGUGUUCCUGUGCUUGGGGAUGCUUCCUUCCUUGGACUUACAAGCCCUGACACACACAUGCUGGCAAAAUGCUUCUGCUUGACCCGUCUUGAAACACGGACCAAGGAGUCUAACAGAUGUGCAAAGUUUGAAGGUGGUAUACCUUUGUGUGCAAUGAAAGUGUCAGCUGGGAUAUGUGCACCAGCACCCAAUUAAUUAGCGGACAGAGGUUUGAGUUGGAGCAUAUCUAUUAGGACCCGAAAGAUGGUGAACUAUGCCUGAACAGAAUGAAUUCAGAGGAAACUCUGAUGGAGGUUCGUAUCGAUACUGACGUGCAAAUCGUUCGUCAUAUUUGGGUAUAGGGGCGAAAGACUAAUCGAACCAUCUAGUAGCUGGUUCCCUCCGAAGUUUCCCUCAGGAUAGCUGGAGUUGCUCAGUUUUAUCAGGUAAAGCGAAUGAUU
Molecule: ribosomal RNA, 950 nt
Filed under: Alexandrium catenella
Lineage: Eukaryota; Dinophyceae; Gonyaulacales; Pyrocystaceae
Description: partial large subunit ribosomal RNA
Rfam family: Eukaryotic large subunit ribosomal RNA
Source: RNAcentral